UCCUGUUGAUCCUGCAGGAGGCUGCUGCUAUCAGGAUUCGACUAAGCCAUGCAAGUUCAGGGGGUCUUCGGACCACCGGCGAAAUGCUCAGUAACACGUUGUUAAUCUGCCCUUAGGUCUGGGAUAACCCCGGGAAACUGAGGCUAAUACCGGAUAUGAUGCCAGUUCUGGAAAGAAGUGCAUCUUAAAGAUUACGCCUAAGGAUGAGACAGCGGCUGAUUAGGCUGUUGGUGGGGUAACGGCCCACCAAACCUAUGAUCAGUAGGGGCCUUGAGAGAGGUAGCCCCGAGAAGGGAACUGAGAUACUGUCCCUAGCCCUACGGGGUGCAGCAGGCGCGAAACCUUUACAAUGCACGAAAGUGUGAUAAGGGGAUCCUGAGUGCUCAUGUUUACAUGGGCUUUUGUUAAGUGUAAAUAACUUGGCGAAUAAGUGGUGGGCAAUACCGGUGCCAGCCGCCGCGGUAACACCGGAGCCACAAGUGGGAGCCGCUAUUAUUGGGCCUAAAGCGUCCGUAGCCGGUCUGGCCAAUCUUUUGUGAAAUUGUCGGGCUCAACCUGACAGCGUGCAGAAGACACUACCAGACUAGGGACCGGGAGGAGUCAGAGGUAUUUCGGGGGGAGCGGUAAAAUGUUAUAAUCCUCGAAGGACCACCUAUGGCGAAGGCAUCUGACCAGAACGGAUCCGACGGUGAGGGACGAAAGCCAGGGGAGCAAACCGGAUUAGAUACCCGAGUAGUCCUGGCUGUAAACGCUGCGAGCUAGGUGUUGCGUAUUCUUCGUGGAUGCGCAGUAUCGGAGCGAAGGUGUUAAGCUCGCCGCCUGGGAAGUACGGUCGCAAGGCUGAAACUUAAAGGAAUUGGCGGGGGAGCACUACAAGGGGUGCGGCGUGCGGUUUAAUCUAACUCAACACAGAGAAUCUCACCAAGGGCGACGGCAGUAUGAAAGUCAGUCUAAAGGGCUUACUUGACGAGCCGAGAGGUGGUGCAUGGCGGCCGUCAGCUCGUGCCGUAAGGUGUCACUUUAAGUGGUGUAACGAGCGAGACCUGCGUUUACAAUUGCCAGCGAGUGCUUUUGCAUGAUCGGGCACAUUGUAGAGACUGCCUUGGAAACGAGGAGGAAGGUGCAGGCUACGGUACGUCUGUAUGCCCCGAAUCUCUUGGGCUACACGCGCGCAACAAUGGUAGGGACAAUGGGCUGCAACUCCGAAAGGAGAAGCUAAUCCUCGAAACCCUAUCUAAGUCCAGAUUGAGGUUUGUAACUCAGCCUCAUGACGCUGGAAUCCCUAGUAAUCGGGUAUCAUCAGUACCCGGUGAAUACGUCCCUGCUCCUUGCACACACCGCCCGUCAAACCACUCGAGCAGGGUUUAGAUGAGGCUUAGUUUUCUUGAUUAAGUCGAAUCUAAGCUCAGUGAGAAGGGUUAAGUCGUCACAAGGUA
This 1436-nucleotide ribosomal RNA is filed under the name metagenome. RNAcentral's name for it is "bacterial SSU rRNA". It matches the Rfam family "Archaeal small subunit ribosomal RNA". The record is from RNAcentral.